AUUGAACGCUGGCGGCAUGCUUUACACAUGCCAGUCGAACCGUAACAGGCCGCAAGGUGCUGACGAGUGGCGAACGGGUGAGUAAUGCAUCGGAACGUGCCCAGUCGUGGGGGAUAACUACUCGAAAGAGUAGCUAAUACCGCAUACGAUCUAUGGAUGAAAGCGGGGGACCGUAAGGCCUCGCGCGAUUGGAGCGGCCGAUGUCAGAUUAGGUAGUUGGUGGGGUAAAGGCUCACCAAGCCAACGAUCUGUAGCUGGUCUGAGAGGACGACCAGCCACACUGGGACUGAGACACGGCCCAGACUCCUACGGGAGGCAGCAGUGGGGAAUUUUGGACAAUGGGCGCAAGCCUGAUCCAGCAAUGCCGCGUGCAGGAAGAAGGCCUUCGGGUUGUAAACUGCUUUUGUACGGAACGAAACGGCUCUGGUUAAUACCCGGGGCUAAUGACGGUACCGUAAGAAUAAGCACCGGCUAACUACGUG
Molecule: ribosomal RNA, 482 nt
Filed under: uncultured bacterium
Lineage: Bacteria
Description: partial 16S ribosomal RNA
Rfam family: Bacterial small subunit ribosomal RNA
Source: RNAcentral